Long non-coding RNA from Talpa occidentalis (Iberian mole), 409 nucleotides. RefSeq lists it as uncharacterized. The record is from RefSeq and is a predicted model, not a curated record. The transcript is spliced from 4 exons. NCBI's taxonomy places the organism in Eukaryota, Metazoa, Chordata, Mammalia, Eulipotyphla, Talpidae.
GAUGUGAUUAUGUUCACUGAGAAGUCAGCAACCCUGUCUGCUUGAAGUCUGUGCUGUAUUUUGUUAUGAAUAACUGUCAGGAAACAAGGCAGACUGGAAAACACACAGAAGGAAAAGCUACUCUUCAUCUUGCAGCAACAGAGAGCAAACCCCCAAAGGAACAUUUUUCAAGUGCAUGGGAGAGAGUCCAUGUCCCUACUACAGUGUGGCAGCCUCUGUCCUGUAUGACCUGAACCAGACUCAGAGCUGCUGUUGCUAAGCACCAUGACCACCUUGCAAGCCGGUUUCCAGAGGCCCAUCUUCUGCAACUCUUCUCACGCCACAGACCUGAGUAUCAAGAAGAAAUCUGAGCCUCAUUUUCCUAAGUUCCACUUAACGAAAUGAAGAUGAAAUGAAAUAAUCCACUUGA